RNAcentral lists this ribosomal RNA (381 nucleotides) under Lactobacillus delbrueckii subsp. bulgaricus. Its description in RNAcentral is "bacterial SSU rRNA". It matches the Rfam family "Bacterial small subunit ribosomal RNA", at positions 162 to 529 of the family's 1533-position model. Lineage: Bacteria; Bacillati; Bacillota; Bacilli; Lactobacillales; Lactobacillaceae. The record is from RNAcentral.
GCUAAUACCGGAUAACAACAUGAAUCGCAUGAUUCAAGUUUGAAAGGCGGCGCAAGCUGUCACUUUAGGAUGAGCCCGCGGCGCAUUAGCUAGUUGGUGGGGUAAAGGCCUACCAAGGCAAUGAUGCGUAGCCGAGUUGAGAGACUGAUCGGCCACAUUGGGACUGAGACACGGCCCAAACUCCUACGGGAGGCAGCAGUAGGGAAUCUUCCACAAUGGACGCAAGUCUGAUGGAGCAACGCCGCGUGAGUGAAGAAGGUCUUCGGAUCGUAAAGCUCUGUUGUUGGUGAAGAAGGAUAGAGGCAGUAACUGGUCUUUAUUUGACGGUAAUCAACCAGAAAGUCACGGCUAACUACGUGCCAGCAGCCGCGGUAAUACGUA